Molecule: non-coding RNA, 1426 nt
Filed under: Globisporangium ultimum DAOM BR144
Lineage: Eukaryota; Oomycota; Peronosporomycetes; Pythiales; Pythiaceae
Description: Pythium ultimum DAOM BR144 Bacterial large subunit ribosomal RNA
Rfam family: Bacterial large subunit ribosomal RNA
Source: Rfam by way of RNAcentral
AGAGCAUUUAAAAUCUUUUUUUGGGGUAGAGCACUCAUUGAGCUAGGGGGCGUAAAAACUUACUGAACUCUUAGAAACUCCGAAUACAAAAAAAAGUUAUUUAAAUAGACAGACAUUAGGCGCUAAGGUCUAUUGUCAAGAGGGAAACAGCCCAGAUUGAUCGCUAAGGUCUCUAAAUAAUAUUCUAAGUGAAAAAGGAAGUGAAAAAAUAAUUACAACCAGUAGGUAGGCUUGGAAGCAGCCAUCCUUUAAAGAAAGCGUAAUAGCUCAUUGGUCUAGUUUUUUUGCGCCUAAAAUGUAUCGAGACUUAAGAAAUUUACCGAAGCGGCAAGUUUUAUUUAUAAUAAAACGGUAGCGGAACAUUCUGUAUGUUGAUAAAGAUAUGUUGUAAAAUAUAUUGAAGAUAUCAGAAAAGAAAAUGCUGGCAUUAGUAACAAAAAAUAAUGAAUAAGAAUCAUUAUCACCGUAAAUCCAAGGGUUUCUAUGUUAAAAUGUAUUUCAUAGAGUGAAACGGCCCCUAAGAAAGAUUUGACGAAAGCAAAUUUUGAUGGGAUAAUUUUUAAAUUAAAUUUUUUAAAAAAAGUGACAAAAAGUUUUACUUUUUACUAGGAAAUAGCUUUUUUUAAAAAAAACCGUACCCUAAACCGACACAGGUGGAUAGGUCGAGUAGACUAAGGUGGAUGAGAGAAUUAUAUUGAAGGAACUCGGCAAAAUGACUCUGUAACUUCGGGAUAAAGAGUACCUAAAUAUUAUAUUUAGGUGUCACAAAAUAGGGGGUUGCGACUGUUUAAUAAAAACUUAGGACUCUGCUAAAUGGUAACAUGAUGUAUAGGGUCUGACACCUGCCCGGUGCUGGAAGAUUAAUAGGAGAUGUUUGCGCAUUGAAUGGAAGUCCCAGUAAACGGCGGCCGUAACUCUGACGGUCCUAAGGUAGCGAAAUUCCUUGUCGGGUAAGUUCCGACCUGCAUGAAUGGUGUAACGACAUCCCCGCUGUCUCCAAUAUAAACUCAGUGAAUUUGAAUUAUCCGUGAAGAUGCGGAUUCUCUAUAGUUAGACGGAAAGACCCCGUGAACCUUUACUACAUCUUUAUAUUGUUAUUUUAUCUAAUAUGUGUAGCAUAAGUGGGAAUCAAUAAGACCUUCACGCUAGUGAAUUGUUUAGAUAACAUUGAAAUACCACUCUUAUUAAAAUAAAUAACUAAUAUUUUUAUAAAUAGACAGUGUAUGGUUGGUAGUUUGACUGGGGCGGUCACCUCCUAAAGAGUAACGGAGGUGUACAAAGGUAAGCUCAAAUUGGAUUAUAUUAUCAAUUGUAGAGCGCAAUGGUAUAAGCUUGCUUGACUGUAAGAUAGACAUAUCAAACAGGGACGAAAGUCGGUCAUAGUGAUCCGAUAAUUCUUUGUGGAAAGAUUAUCGCUCAACGGAUA